This 845-nucleotide long non-coding RNA is filed under the name Homo sapiens (human). Its description in RNAcentral is "HSALNT0344923". Lineage: Eukaryota; Metazoa; Chordata; Mammalia; Primates; Hominidae. The record is from RNAcentral.
AACACUAGGUCUCCUGGCUGGAACGAAUGGCAGGACUUUGGUCAGGAAUUGGAUUGGGAUGGGCUCCUGGAACAAGUGGCAGGAUAAUAUCUUGUACCUGUUGGAGAGACUAUAGGUACUGUAAUAAAUUAGUUUGUGAUAUUUCUGCUAAUUUGGCAUCUCUUAGCUUAGGCAAGAUAGGCGGUGCCCUAUUAUACAUAAUUUCAAAAGGUGAGAAAUUAGCCUGGUAAGAGGUGCACCUUAAUUUAAGUAGGGCUAAAGGAAGGAGACUUACUUAAUUUACACUGUUUUUUUAAGAUUAAUUUUAUAAGAGUGUUUUUUAGGGUGUGGUUCAUGCGUUCUACUUGCCUGGAGCUCUGGGGUUGAUAGGCACAAUGGAGCUUCUGUUGAAUGUUUAACGCCUUACUGACUGACUGAGCUAUAGGCGAGGUGAAGGCUGCUCUAUUAUCAGACUUUAUGGCAGCAGGCAGCCUAUAUUGAGGGAUGAUUUCAUUGAGUAAAAACUUAACUACUAUGUUGGUGGUUUCGUUUUCGGUAGCAAAUGCCUUAGUCUAUCUGGAGAAGGUGUCUACUAGUACUAGAAGAAACUCCUGGAGGGCAGAGGCAUGCCUGCCAUCUUCAUCAUUGCAUUACCACCACCCAACACUAUCGGGGGACCUGCCCUGAUAAUCAGUCUACAGGUGUAUCCAGCAGCUCCAGAGAGACAGCGACCAGCGAGAAGGGGCCAUGAUGAUGGUGGUGGUUUUGUCAAAACGAAAAGGGGGAUAUGUAGGGAAAAGAAAGAGAGAUCAGACUGUUACUGUGUCUACAUAGAAAGGGAAGCCAUAAGAGACUCCAUUUUGAAA